UAGUCCACGCCGUAAACGAUGUCUACUAGCCGUUGGGGAACUUGAGUCCUUAGUGGCGCAGCUAACGCACUAAGUAGACCGCCUGGGGAGUACGGCCGCAAGGUUAAAACUCAAAUGAAUUGACGGGGGCCCGCACAAGCGGUGGAGCAUGUGGUUUAAUUCGAUGCAACGCGAAGAACCUUACCAGGUCUUGACAUCCUGCGAAGAUACCAGAGAUGGUUUCGUGCCUUCGGGAACGCAGUGACAGGUGCUGCAUGGCUGUCGUCAGCUCGUGUCGUGAGAUGUUGGGUUAAGUCCCGUAACGAGCGCAACCCUUGUCCUUAGUUGCUAGCAGGUCAUGCUGAGAACUCUAAGGAGACUGCCGGUGACAAACCGGGAGGAAGGUGGGGGACGACGUCAAGUCAUCAUGGCCCUUACGACCUGGGGCUACACACGUGCUACAAUGGAACGCACAGAGGGGCAGCAAAGGGCGCGAGCUGGGAGC
This 484-nucleotide ribosomal RNA is filed under the name uncultured bacterium. RNAcentral's name for it is "bacterial SSU rRNA". It matches the Rfam family "Bacterial small subunit ribosomal RNA", at positions 791 to 1268 of the family's 1533-position model. The record is from RNAcentral.